Molecule: long non-coding RNA, 463 nt
Filed under: Struthio camelus australis
Lineage: Eukaryota; Metazoa; Chordata; Aves; Struthioniformes; Struthionidae
Description: lncRNA (ENSSCUG00000013587.1)
Source: RNAcentral
GCAAGAAGGAACCUCAUGCAACACUAGGCAAGAACCCACAUCACCGCUAUCAUCUGGCGUGAGGGACACAGCGUGUGGAGGGAGCCUCUUUAAGUAGCAGUUUGGAAUCAACCAUAGUUUCCGUACAGUCUCACUGGUGAUCCGUUUGCCAGAGGUGCGCUCUCUCUAAUGCAUGCAGCACAGGGUACAGGAUCUUGGAUCAAGCCCAGCUCUUUCACUCGAAGGUGACUGGCAGCUCUUUGCUGGGGUCAGAGAGAAGGACGGGGCUCGGACUGCUCCUUCCCCGCGAGCGAGCGCCCGGAUUCUGCUCUGGAGCCAUCUGCCAAAAAAAAAAAAAAAAGAAAAGAAAAAGAGGACCUGGGUGUAUUUUGGCCUUUCCAAGGCAGUUCUGAAAACUGCUGGACAAAUGAAGUCUCAGGAAAGCUUUUCUGACAUUAAUAGUAUUUUGUGGCUUCUAUCCUGA